AAGUGCCACAACUUUAGAUAAUUUAAGUUACAUAAUUUAGAAGAUUUUUGAUAUAGAUUUGGCAAAUUGGGAUGAUUUGGAGAACCUGGCUCAGGAAUUUCUCCCUGAUUUUUUUUUUUCUUGUGAUGAUGAAAAGGAAAGCAAAGACCUAGCAGCAAAUGCAAAAUAAGAGCAGCGGAGUGUUGGGGGGAAGGAAAUGCUUUGAAGCUGGCUAUUCUUCGGAUCAUAGUGGUGACAACACAUGAUCCUGAUGAUCAGACGACUAGCACAGGUAUGAAUACAAAAGAUACAUUUAAAAAAAUAUAUAUUUCCCUCUCAGAAUUCAUAAAAUAAAGUGACAGAUUAUUAGCAUAAUUUACAUGAACAAGUGUAAAAAUUGAUCAGAAACAUACCUUUACUAACCGAAUAUGUGACUGUUAUCAAAAUUUUAAUCUCUCUAAAGCUUAUAUACACGUUUAAGAACACUCAAAGAAGCCCGAAACCUGAAUUGUCACCUAACUUAAAUGAUAAAUGUAUUACAUGAUUACAGUUAGUAGUAAUCUCUACAACCUGAAGAAACGCAAGCCUUUAUCAACAUUAUCUUGCCUAAAGGCAAGAAUCCCAAAUUUACAGAUCUAAAUUUCAGUCUGAGUCUAAGGUCAAGUAUUUAUUUCAUAAUAACGUAAGCUCUUUGGUAAGGGUGCUAGUCAGCUCUCAUAUAAUAUGUAUCAAGUAUAAGCAAAUUCAAUAGAUAUCAGCAUGCUGUAUUUGUUUAGGAUCCUAACUCCAUUUUACAGUAUUAAACCCAAAUCAACAGAUCCUUCACUACGGACAAAUAUCAGCUGAUUGAAUAAUCAACUAAAGGCCUGAAUCCAUUGUUGGGAGCAACAGAAAGAAAACUAUCAAAAUACACAAAGUAGCAAAUUCCACAUAUUCUAUCUAUUGGGAUGAUUUGGAGAACCAGGCUCAGGAAUUUCUCCCUGAUUUUUUUUUUCUUGUGAUGAUGAAAAGGAAAGCAAAGACCUAGCAGCAAAUGCAAAAUAAGAGCAGCGGAGUGUUGGGGGGAAGGAAAUGCUUUGAAGCUGGCUAUUCUUCGGAUCAUAGUGGUGACAACACAUGAUCCUGAUGAUCAGACGACUAGCACAGGUAUGAAUACAAAAGAUACAUUUAAAAAAAUAUAUAUUUCCCUCUCAGAAUUCAUAAAAUAAAGUGACAGAUUAUUAGCAUAAUUUACAUGAACAAGUGUAAAAAUUGAUCAGAAACAUACCUUUACUAACCGAAUAUGUGACUGUUAUGAAAAUUUUAUUCUCUCGAAAGCUUAUAUACACGUUUAAGAACACUCAAAGAAGCCCGAAACCUGAAUUGUCACCUAACUUAAAUGAUAAAUGUAUUACAUGAUUACAGUUGGUAGUAAUCUCUACAACCUGAAGAAACGCAAGCCUUUAUCAACAUUAUCUUGCCUAAAGGCAAGAAUCCCAAAUUUACAGAUCUAAAUUUCAGUCUGAGUCUAAGGUCAAGUAUUUAUUUCAUAAUAACGUAAGCUCUUUGGUAAGGGUGCUAGUCAGCUCUCAUAUAAUAUGUAUCAAGUAUAAGCAAAUUCAAUAGAUAUCAGCAUGCUGUAUAUGUUUAGGAUCCUAACUCCAUUUUACAG
This 1630-nucleotide long non-coding RNA is filed under the name Daucus carota (carrot). Its description in RNAcentral is "long non-coding RNA (DCAR_LNC001707)". Lineage: Eukaryota; Viridiplantae; Streptophyta; Magnoliopsida; Apiales; Apiaceae. The record is from RNAcentral.